AUGGCUUUGGAAGGCUGGAAUGUUCUGUCGUCUCUGGCAGUUUACGCGGAAGAUUCAGAGCCCGAGUCUGAUGGAGAGGCUGGAGUCGAAGCGGUGGACAGCGCGACUGAGGAGAAAGGUGGUUUAGUAUCUGAUGCUUAUGGAGAGGACGACUUUUCAUGCCUAGGGGGUGAUGAAGAUGGUUAUGAAGAAGAAGAGGAUGAGAACAGCAAACAGUCGGAAGAUGAUGAUUCAGAGACUGCAAAACCUGAGGGUGAUGAUCCAAAGGAUAAUAUAGAAGUAGAAAAGCGAGAUCCCCAGGAAUUAGUGGCCUCCUUUUCUGAAAGAGUCCGGAACAUGUCACCUGAUGAAAUCAAGAUCCCGCCAGAACCCCCUGGCAGAUGCUCAAAUCACUUACAAGACAAGAUCCAGAAGCUUUAUGAAUGAAAAAUAAAGGAAGGAAUGGUUAUGAACUACAUUAUCCAAAGGAAGAAAGAAUUUUGGAACCCCAGCAUCUACAAGAAGCUGAUCCAGUUCUGUGCCAUCAAUGAGCUCGGCACCAACUACCCAAAGGAUACGUUUGAACUCCAUGGCUGGUCUGAAGAUUACUACUAUGAGGCAUUAGCCAAGGCCCAGAAGAUUGAAAUGGACAAACUAGAAAAGGUCAAAAAGGAGCGAACCAAAAUUGAGUUUGUGACGGGCACCAAGAAGGGCACCAUGACCGUGCCACGGCCACUACCACCACCACCACCAGCACAGCCAUCACAGAUGCCCAAAAGAGAAAGAGCAAGUGACGACAGUAGCCCAGGCCACCAUCCUCACCACCACGGCCACCCUGCCAGCUGUUGUCACAGUCAUCACCAGCGCCAGUGGUUCCAAGACCACUGUCAUCUCUGCCGUGGACACCAUUGUGAAGAAGGCCAAGCAGUGGACUGGAGGGGCCACCCUAGGACUUGAAAGAACUGUGCAGCCCAAUGACCUGUGCCCACUGGGAAGUGCUACUUUGUGUAUUUCAGGACUGGAACUUGCUGUCCCAGAUGCUACCUGA
This is an RNA transcript of Carlito syrichta (Philippine tarsier), 1027 nucleotides long. It is a transcript of the gene named SAP30-binding protein pseudogene, with no coding region annotated. The record is from RefSeq and is a predicted model, not a curated record. NCBI's taxonomy places the organism in Eukaryota, Metazoa, Chordata, Mammalia, Primates, Tarsiidae. The transcript is spliced from 2 exons.